UUUUUAAUAGAUACAGAAAAUAAAAGAUUUUUUAAAUAGAAGCUUAUCUCUAAUAUAUAUUUUUGUAAGUUAAUCAAAGUUUGGAGACUGUUGGUUUGUACAAUCCAAUCAAGAUUUAUUAAUAAGCUUUUAAGCCAAUAUAAUUUACAGUGUAAUGUCCCAUUCCACGUCAAGAACCUCUGACUAAUAGAAUAAUGUAGGUAUAAGGGGAAGUCGGCAAAAUGGUUCUGUAACUUUGGGAGAAAGAAUGGCUCUGAAGGCUAAGCUAGUCGGGUUUAGCGUGGAAGUGCCCUUGGAUUGGAAGGACUGGAUGUGGUUCGGACCUUUAAUCUUGAAGGCAUGGAAGCGCUAGGCUUCAUAUACUUACGUAUAUACGUCUAGCUAUCAAUAGCUUGAUCAGAACUGACACGAGCAGGGGGAAUCCGACUGUUUAAUUAAAACAAAGCAUCGAGAUAGUCAAAGGGUGACAUUGACUCGAUGUGAUUUCUGCCCAGUGCUCUGAAUGUCAAAUGGAAGAGGUCCCAUUAAGCGCGGGUAAACGGCGGGAGUAACUAUGACUCUCUUAAGGUAGCCAAAUGCCUCGUCAGAUAACUACUGACGCGCAUGAACGGAUUAACGAGAUUCCCACUGUCCCUAUCUACCAUCUAGCGAACCCGCAGUCAAGGGAACGGACUUGUGGAUAUUAGCGGGGAAAGAAGACCCUGUUGAGCUUGACUCUAGUUUCGCUUGGUGGAGAGGAAUACUUGAAGUAGGAUAGAGAGGAGGUGUAAAAGCCAGUCUUGAAAUACUCUCACACGUAUGUCUUCUCUGCUUAAGAAGUCGGAAGGGAAAGACAGCUUGGCUUAAUGCCUUGCUUCAGUUGUAGAAGGAAGUUGAAAGGGCAACCCUAACCUCAGAGAGAGUGAGGCAGGGAGUUUGACUGGGGCGGUACAUCUGUCAAACGAUAACGCAGGUGUCCUAAGGUUGGCUCCUCAAGGAAAGAAACCUUGAAUAGAGUAGAAGGGCACAAGCCAGCUUGAGUUCUCCUUUCAGUACAAGGAGAACCUUGGAAACAACGGCCUAUCGAUCCUCUUUAAUUCGUGGUUUGAAGGAAGAGGUGACAGAAAAGUUACCACAGGGAUAACUGGCUUGUGGCUGCCAAGCGUUCAUAGCGACGUAGCUUUUUGAUCCUUCGAUGUCGGCUCUUCCUAUCAUUUUGAAGCAGAAUUCAGAAAGUGUCGGAUUGUUCACCCGUCAAAAGGGAACGUGAGCUGGGUUUAGACCGUCGUGAGACAGGUUAGUUUUACCCUACUAAUAGGGAGGACUAGUCUUGAGUAAGGCUCUUUAGUACGAGAGGAACCAGAGCCUGGUACCGCUGGUGUUUCUGUUGUUUGACUUGUCAGAGCAGAUGCGCUAAGUACUUUGGUUAAUAGCUGAACGCCUCUAAGCUAGAGACCAGUCUUGAGAGCUAUCUAUAUUAGUGUGAAUGUCGGGAAAGGAGCAGCUAGGCGCAAGCCUGGUAGAACGAAAGCUAUAUCUAUCUAACGCUCCCAAUCACUGUGUCCCAUGGAC
This 1551-nucleotide ribosomal RNA is filed under the name Acartia tonsa. RNAcentral's name for it is "eukaryotic LSU rRNA". The stretch from base 186 to 1551 matches the Rfam family "Eukaryotic large subunit ribosomal RNA", at positions 1889 to 3259 of the family's 3401-position model. The record is from RNAcentral. Lineage: Eukaryota; Metazoa; Arthropoda; Copepoda; Calanoida; Acartiidae.